GACGAACGCUGGCGGCGUGCUUAACACAUGCAAGUCGAACGGAAAGGCCCUGCUUUUGUGGGGUGCUCGGUUGGCGCACGGGUGAGUAACACGUGAGUAACCUGCCCUUGACUUUGGGAUAACUUCAGGAAACUGGGGCUAAUACCGGAUAGGAGCUCCUGCUGCAUGGUGGGGGUUGGAAAGUUUCGGCGGUUGGGGAUGGACUCGCGGCUUAUCAGCUUGUUGGUGGGGUAGUGGCUUACCAAGGCUUUGACGGGUAGCCGGCCUGAGAGGGUGACCGGCCACAUUGGGACUGAGAUACGGCCCAGACUCCUACGGGAGGCAGAAGUGGGGAAUAUUGCACAAUGGGCGGAAGCCUGAUGCAGCAACGCCGCGUGCGGGAUGACGGCCUUCGGGUUGUAAACCGCUUUCGCCUGUGACGAAGCGUGAGUGACGGUAAUGGGUAAAGAAGCACCGGCUAACUACGUG
RNAcentral lists this ribosomal RNA (468 nucleotides) under uncultured bacterium. RNAcentral's name for it is "partial 16S ribosomal RNA". It matches the Rfam family "Bacterial small subunit ribosomal RNA", at positions 28 to 507 of the family's 1533-position model. The record is from RNAcentral.